Molecule: ribosomal RNA, 323 nt
Filed under: uncultured eukaryote
Lineage: Eukaryota
Description: partial 18S ribosomal RNA
Rfam family: Eukaryotic small subunit ribosomal RNA
Source: RNAcentral
CCCUUAGAUGUUCUGGGCUGCACGCGCGCUACACUGACGCACGCAACAGGUGCCUGCUCCGAGAGGACUGGGUAAUCAUUUGAGUGUGCGUCGUGAUGGGGAUAGAAUAUUGUAAUUAUUACUCUUCAACGAGGAAUUCCUAGUAAGCGCCAGUCAGCAGCUUGCGCUGAUUACGUCCCUGCCCUUUGUACACACCGCCCGUCGCUCCUACCGAUUGAGUGAUCCGGUGAGGCUCUGGGACCUGGACGGAAAGAGCGUUUCGCUUGUUCUGUUUGGGAAACUUGGUCGAACCUUAUCAUUUAGAGGAAGGAGAAGUCGUAACA